This 691-nucleotide ribosomal RNA is filed under the name uncultured Alteromonadaceae bacterium. Its description in RNAcentral is "bacterial SSU rRNA". It matches the Rfam family "Bacterial small subunit ribosomal RNA", at positions 56 to 770 of the family's 1533-position model. Lineage: Bacteria; Pseudomonadati; Pseudomonadota; Gammaproteobacteria; Alteromonadales; Alteromonadaceae. The record is from RNAcentral.
UGCAGUCGAACGGUAACAUUUCUAGCUUGCUAGAAGAUGACGAGUGGCGGACGGGUGAGUAAUGCUUGGGAACUUGCCUUUGCGAGGGGGAUAACAGUUGGAAACGACUGCUAAUACCGCAUAAUGUCUUCGGACCAAACGGGGCUUCGGCUCCGGCGCAAAGAGAGGCCCAAGUGAGAUUAGCUAGUUGGUAAGGUAACGGCUUACCAAGGCGACGAUCUCUAGCUGUUCUGAGAGGAAGAUCAGCCACACUGGGACUGAGACACGGCCCAGACUCCUACGGGAGGCAGCAGUGGGGAAUAUUGGACAAUGGGGGCAACCCUGAUCCAGCGAUGCCGCGUGAGUGAUGAAGGCCUUAGGGUUGUAAAGCUCUUUCGUCAGGGAAGAUAAUGACGGUACCUGAAGAAGAAGAUCCGGCUAACUCCGUGCCAGCAGCCGCGGUAAUACGGAGGGAUUUAGCGUUAUUCGGAAUUACUGGGCGUAAAGCGAGCGUAGGCGGAUUUGUAAGUUGGAGGUGAAAUCCCAGAGCUUAACUCUGGAACUGCCUUCAAAACUACAUUUCUUGAGUUUGGUAGAGGAGAGUGGAAUUCCUAGUGUAGAGGUGAAAUUCGUAGAUAUUAGGAGGAACACCAGUGGCGAAGGCGACUCUCUGGGCCAAUACUGACGCUGAGGUUCGAAAGCAUGGGUAGCG